UGAGGUGGUUGGGCGGUCGCGGCGUGGCCAGGGCCACGGCGAGGAACGUCCGGACUCCUCAGAGCAGGGCGGUGGGUAACACCCACCCGGGGCGACCCGCGGGACAGUGCCACAGAGAAUAGACCGCCGCGUCCUUGAGUGGAGCGCGGCAAAGGUGAAACGGUGGUGUAAGAGACCACCAGCACCCCCGGUGACGGGGGUGGCUCGGUAAACCCCGCCCGGAGCAAGGUCAGGCAGGAAGCGUUCGAGGGUGACUCGCCCGAGCUUCCGGGUAGGCCGCUUGAGGCGUAUGGAAACGUGCGCUCUAGAUGGAUGGCCGCCGCCGCGCCAAUGCGGGCAACCGCGGCACGGCACAGAAUCCGGCGUACAGACCACCUCAUCCG
This 383-nucleotide RNase P RNA is filed under the name Bifidobacteriaceae bacterium. RNAcentral describes it as "RNase P RNA component class A". It matches the Rfam family "Bacterial RNase P class A". From Rfam's summary of the family: Ribonuclease P (RNase P) is a ubiquitous endoribonuclease, found in archaea, bacteria and eukarya as well as chloroplasts and mitochondria. The record is from RNAcentral. Lineage: Bacteria; Bacillati; Actinomycetota; Actinomycetes; Bifidobacteriales; Bifidobacteriaceae.